Molecule: non-coding RNA, 3291 nt
Organism: Notechis scutatus (mainland tiger snake)
Lineage: Eukaryota; Metazoa; Chordata; Lepidosauria; Squamata; Elapidae
Source: RefSeq, a predicted model, not a curated record
CCAAAAGAGCUCCCACCAAUUCUUGCACCUUUUUAAAAAGAUCUAAGCCUUUAUUUCAUGCUCCAGCACUUUUUGGACGGUUGUCAUAAGGUAACACUAUUUUUAUUCUCCAAUUUUUGGCAAGUCUUCCAGCUUGACGGGGUGGGGGGUAGGGUGGGGAGGGAAUGGGGAAAAAAAACACCUUUAAUCGAUUUGUGUCCAUUGAUGGGUGCAUGAAAGUUUUAUUUGGUCUGUGUUGGAAACCAGCUUAGUGGCCAUUUUAAUGAGUAUUUUUUUGCAUGCUUUGUGUGCCUGAUCUAGUAAUAAGAUGAGGCUUGUGGAUUAAUCCCCCCAAAAUGCUUUUUUUUAAACAGUACCCCCCCCAUCCCAAAAGAAGCCAUUCCACCACGAAUUAAAGAAAGCACUUUAGCGCAUGAAACAUGAUAUAAACAGUUCCAUUCUUCUUGAUCUCAGGCUACCUGAAAAUUAAACCUGCAAUGAUUCUGCUGCUAUUUGAGCCAUUCCUUCAGUUGGGUCAGAGAUGCUACAAUGCCGGGGAAUGGGGGCAAUUACAGCAUCUAACCCUAAUUCUGAGGACUCUGGUUCCUACAGAGUGUUUAAAUUCCUUCCUAAAGCAUGUUCCUUUUAGCAAUGGAAUUUCAGGUGUUACUGUUCCUCAAUCGGCUAACAUUAUAGGCUAAAAAGGGAUCCCCAAACUUGGCAACUUUUAAGACUUGUGGACUCUGGGCUAAAAUAUGGUCCUUUUCAUUUGUACCUCAUCACCUACAGCCCCACUGUAUAUUUAGACAAGUCAAUUAUGCAAAGCUUAGCACCACUAAGUGGCAAUGCUAAGCUCGGUUAGUCUUAAGCUUGAUGGUGGUUGGUUGGGCUUAGGGUGUUGUGUGAUCCAAGGAUUUUCAACUUUUUCAGUGGUUUCCUAAAACAAAGUAUUUUUUGUGAGAUCCAUUCCCAAUAACUGAUUGAACUUGAGGGUAGGGUUCAGCAAGAAAUAAAUGUCCCACUUUGAGUUAUUGUUAGCCCGCAUAUCAGAGGCAGUCAUAAACUUUGCAACAUACAGAGAAAGGGAAGAGCAAAGGUGCAGAAUAGAUAUUAAUCGGUCUACCUGUGCUAGACUGAGAUUAUAACACUUUUUUUUUUCUAACAAGAUGUGGAUCCUUUCCUUACUGGGCUGGCCCAGCUCCCAUUUGCAAACCCCUGGAUUAAAUUAUGGUUCAAGUGUGUUUUUCUAAAUGCAGAAAAUAGCUUAAUUCGAGAACUAGGUUCAACAUGUUGUUAGUUUACUAUGACAUGCAGACGCAGCCCCUGAAAGGGUUAAUUUUCAAUCUUUAACUCAACAAGGCAGAGACAAUCUCUUUUCCCCCUCCAAGAUUACUUCAGGUAACUCCUCAGAACUCUGUAGCUUUCACUAGUGAAAAAUGGGCUGUCUUGGUAACUUGUCCAAGCCCCAAUAGAAAUGUUGUGUAUACGCCUAGUAGAGACCCUCUAAUUUCUUCAUUCCUUCCUAACUCUAUCAAGUUGCCAACAGGCUAUCACAGCUCUGGCUCAUCUGAUAGGAUCAACUUUUUUUCCUCCUCCACUACUGCAGUCUUUAUUCUGGGGAUGUGGGUGGGAUCCAUUUCUGUUUCUUAGGAGUGUCCAACCUUGGCAACUUUUAAGACACGUGGACUUCAAUUCCCAGAAUUCCCCAGCUAAUUAUGCAUGGCUGAUUGGGGAAUUCUGGGGGUUGGAAGUCCAUAGAUCUUAAAAGCGGUCGAAGUUGGACACCCUACCUUCGAAUAUACUUGAACAGCUGGGAAGAGGAGGUUUUUCUGAGAACCGUUUGGGACAUAAAUCUAUCCUUGUUUUCUUCUGUGCUCUUAUGUAUUUACAAAAUCCAUUGAAUUGAUAGCUACUAUAUCCAUCCUUAUUAGGGUUUUUGGGGGGCAGGGCAGAAAUAAGAUUCUGCAGAAGAAAUGUAUUUUCCCUAGUUAAAUAUUAAUACCAUGUCUUCGCUGUUAUAUAUCAGGGAAUCGACUUCCCAUUCUCAGUUUUACUAUUCCCCAUCAAUAAUCGUAUAUUAAACUAGAUGUAGAGCAAUAAAUAAUCCUUAUUGCCAGAGAGGGGAAGGACUGUUAUUCAAUGAAUGGCUCUGUAAAUCAGGAUUAUAACCCCUGGCUAACCCCAAGUGCAAUAAGAGCCGAUUGUAUUUGUGAACAUGAGGAUUUCAGGACAUGAAGAUUGGCUCAGCUUGCACACUUCUAAUGAAAAACAACUGUAAAGUGUAUUUGUAAAUAUUUGCCAAUGUUUGGGGUGAAUUAAUGAAUUUGUGUUUUAAACUGCAAGAUGUAACUACCAUAGGGAAUCCUCCCUCCAGGGACUUUCGGAUGCUGAAAAAUUGUGGUGUUUUUUUUUUAAGGAACAAAAAAUAAUGCAGCUUUGUAUUUGAUGCACAUGAAUUUUCUUCUUCUCUUUCUUAACUCAAGAAACUUUAAAACAUGCAGCUUCUCCCACCAGGAGAUCAGGAGACUUCCGCUUCUUAACAAGGACACGACCUGUUCUUGCUCCUUUCCUACCGCUGCUGAAGCAGCAUUGCAGCUCUGAUUGAGGGCCAGGCAUCUUGUUGACUAAAUCAGAGUUUUGUAUGCACCAAGUCCCAACUUCAUGAGAUGGUAUGCAAGCCGCUGCCAGCCAGAGUAGACAGUACUAAGCUUCGUACUAAGCUUCUUGCCAUUAAGAGGCAAGACUAAUUUAGGGAUAAAAUGCUGAUGUCCAAGUGCCAAGAACGUAGGGUUUUAGCCAUAGGGUCGGUGAGAAAGACCCUGCAUGUAUGCAGCAGCUGGGCAGUGCCCCUGAAGCACUGAAAUGAUGCCCCCUUCCCUGCCCACUCACAUUUACGGAAUGAGGAGGCUGCAUUUUGCUGCUUUAGUUAAAAGCCCGACUUGAUCGCCAAAGAAGGAAAAGAGCAGGGAGAGACUGCUGUGCAGAAGUUCUCCCCGUCUUUUGUCUUCUUGGUUAGAGACCAAAGGAAUUACUUUCUCUCUUUUUUGGGGGGGUGGGGGGGUGGCUGUUGGAAGCCGAAAAUCCGCCUUCCAUACCUGCACAAAGGGCAUAUUGGUCUUCCUGCCGUAUGAAACACUUGAGAAUCCUUCAACUUCUGUGGAAUGUAUUUUUAAGAGAUGAAAAUAUAUUUUUUCUAUUUGUUAAUGUCCAGAUGGGGUGGAAAAGGGACUGCAGAAGCCAGACAAUGUUAUGUGUUCUAAGGCAGAUGGGCAUCGCCUGCCUUCUAUUCCUUUUCAGGUGAAGAAAAAAAAA